RNAcentral lists this ribosomal RNA (712 nucleotides) under uncultured bacterium. Its description in RNAcentral is "bacterial SSU rRNA". It matches the Rfam family "Bacterial small subunit ribosomal RNA", at positions 94 to 826 of the family's 1533-position model. The record is from RNAcentral.
AGCGGCGGACGGGUGCGUAACACGUGGGUAACCUGCCCCUAUCACUGGGAUAACACACUGAAAAGUGUGCUAAUACCAGAUAAUAUAAGCUUUUGGCAUCAUUAGCUUAUCAAAGAAUUUCGGAUAGGGAUGGGCCCGCGUCUGAUUAGCUAGUUGGUGAGGUAACGGCUCACCAAGGCAACGAUCAGUAGCCGACCUGAGAGGGUGAUCGGCCACACUGGAACUGAGACACGGUCCAGACUCCUACGGGAGGCAGCAGUGGGGAAUAUUGCACAAUGGGCGAAAGCCUGAUGCAGCAACGCCGCGUGAGCGAUGAAGGCCUUCGGGUCGUAAAGCUCUGUCCUAUGGGAAGAUAAUGACGGUACCAUAGGAGGAAGCCCCGGCUAACUACGUGCCAGCAGCCGCGGUAAUACGUAGGGGGCAAGCGUUAUCCGGAAUUACUGGGCGUAAAGGGUGCGUAGGCGGUUUAUCAAGUCAGGGGUGAAAGGCUACGGCUCAACCGUAGUGAGCCUCUGAAACUGGUGAACUUGAGUGUAGGAGAGGAAAGUGGAAUUCCCAGUGUAGCGGUGAAAUGCGUAGAUAUUGGGAGGAACACCAGUGGCGAAGGCGACUUUCUGGACUACAACUGACGCUGAGGCACGAAAGCGUGGGGAGCAAACAGGAUUAGAUACCCUGGUAGUCCACGCUGUAAACGAUGAGUACUAGGUGUCGG